CCUACGGGAGGCAGCAGUGGGGAAUAUUGCACAAUGGGGGAAACCCUGAUGCAGCGACGCCGCGUGAGUGAAGAAGUAUCUCGGUACGUAAAGCUCUAUCAGCAGGGAAGAAAAUGACGGUACCUGACUAAGAACCCCCGGCUAACUACGUGCCAGCAGCCGCGGUAAUACGUAGGGGGCAAGCGUGAUCCGGAUUUACUGGGUGUAAAGGGAUCGUAGACGGCAGCACAAUUCUGGAGUGAAAUCCCGGGGCUUAACCCCGGACCUGCUUUGGAAACUGGGCGGCUGGAGUGCAGGAGGGGUAAGCGGAAUUCCUAGUGGAGCGGUGAAAUGCGUAGAUAUUAGGAGGAACACCGGUGGCGAAGGCGGAUUACUGGACUGUAACUGACGUUGAGGGUCGAAAGCGUGGGGAGCAAACAGGAUUAGAUACCCUUGUAGUC
RNAcentral lists this ribosomal RNA (440 nucleotides) under uncultured bacterium. RNAcentral's name for it is "partial 16S ribosomal RNA". It matches the Rfam family "Bacterial small subunit ribosomal RNA", at positions 338 to 795 of the family's 1533-position model. The record is from RNAcentral.